This is a long non-coding RNA of Daphnia pulex (common water flea), 503 nucleotides long. RefSeq lists it as uncharacterized. The record is from RefSeq and is a predicted model, not a curated record. Lineage: Eukaryota; Metazoa; Arthropoda; Branchiopoda; Diplostraca; Daphniidae. The transcript has 2 exons.
CGUGCCACUUAGAGUGACAAAGCCAUUUUCAGCGGAGCAGGAACAGAGAGUGCAGGAAAGGAGGAGACGUGAACUGGGACUGGGAGAACAGGGACUGGAAGAUAAUUACGCUGAAGUAGCAGAUAGAGAGGAUAUAGCAGUAGUUGAAGUAGUUCAGGAAAACCCGGCAGAGGAUGCAACAUCACAAGACACGACUGGCAGAGGAGACAAAAGGCAAAGAGACAGAUCACCAAAUCCAGCCAAUGUAAAUGAUGUUACAGAAGAUGAAGGGCGUUUUUGAAUAAAAAAGUUUUAGUGAUGAUUUAUUAUUUGAAAACCUGUGGCGUUUCACCGUUUGUAUAAAAGUAGAUAUGUAUGUUUGCUUUCAGUAUGUUUUUUGUACUAUGUGACUUAUGCUAUGGGGAAUAAAAAUAAAUAAAAAUAAAUUAAAAAAAAAAACUAUGCUACACCGAAACUUAGAUAUACUAUUUACAUGACAAUUGAUAGUUGGAAAAUAUUUUUGC